UUGGAGGGCAAGUCUGGUGCCAGCAGCCGCGGUAAUUCCAGCUCUAAUAGCGUAUAUUAAAGUUGCUGCAGUUAAAAAGCUCGUAGUUGAAUUUCGGGACCAAUAUGUCGGUCGUGCCUCGGUACGUACUGGCAUCGUUGGUUUCUCCCUUCUGACGAACCAUGAUGUCAUUUAUUUGGUGUCGUGGGGAAUCAGGACUGUUACUUUGAAAAAAUUAGAGUGUUUAAAGCAGGC
This 234-nucleotide ribosomal RNA is filed under the name uncultured Glomus. RNAcentral's name for it is "partial small subunit ribosomal RNA". It matches the Rfam family "Eukaryotic small subunit ribosomal RNA", at positions 548 to 785 of the family's 1831-position model. Lineage: Eukaryota; Fungi; Glomeromycota; Glomeromycetes; Glomerales; Glomeraceae. The record is from RNAcentral.